RNAcentral lists this ribosomal RNA (447 nucleotides) under uncultured bacterium. RNAcentral's name for it is "bacterial SSU rRNA". It matches the Rfam family "Bacterial small subunit ribosomal RNA", at positions 329 to 792 of the family's 1533-position model. The record is from RNAcentral.
GCCCAGACUCCUACGGGAGGCAGCAGUGGGGGAUAUUGCACAAUGGGGGGAACCCUGAUGCAGCGACGCCGCGUGGGUGAAGGAGUGCUUCGGCAUGUAAAGCCCUAUCGGCAGGGAAGAAGCAAGACGGUACCUGACUAAGAAGCCCCGGCUAACUACGUGCCAGCAGCCGCGGGAAUACGUAGGGGGCGAGCGUUGUCCGGAAUUACUGGGUGUAAAGGGAGCGCAGGCGGAUUGACAAGUUGGGAGUGAAAACUACGGGCUCAACCCGUAACCUGCUUUCAAAACUGUCAGUCUUGAGUGGUGUAGAGGUAGGCGGAAUUCCCGGUGCAGCGGUGGAAUGCGUAGAUAUCGGGAGGGACACCAGUGGCGAAGGCGACUAUCUGGCACAUAACUGACGCUGAGGAGCGAAAGCGUGGGUAGCAAACAGGAUUAGAUACCCUGGUA